Musa acuminata subsp. malaccensis (wild Malaysian banana) is the source of this 132-nucleotide non-coding RNA. Lineage: Eukaryota; Viridiplantae; Streptophyta; Magnoliopsida; Zingiberales; Musaceae. The record is from Rfam.
AUAAAAGCAGGGGCAUGUUUUGCUCGUAAACAUGCCUCUCGUAGACUUUAGGGAAAUUACAUCCAUUGUUAUUGGGUGAGCCUCUGUGCACUUUUUUUUAUAACAGAAGGUUCAGUAAACAAUGGAACAUUU